AUGCAAGUCGAACGGCAGCACGGGGCAACCUGGUGGCGAGUGGCGAACGGGUGAGUAAUACAUCGGAACGUGCCCAAUCGUGGGGGAUAACGUAGCGAAAGUUACGCUAAUACCGCAUACGAUCUAAGGAUGAAAGCGGGGGAUCGCAAGACCUCGCGCGAAUGGAGCGGCCGAUGUCAGAUUAGGUAGUUGGUGGGGUAAAGGCUCACCAAGCCGACGAUCUGUAGCUGGUCUGAGAGGACGACCAGCCACACUGGGACUGAGACACGGCCCAGACUCCUACGGGAGGCAGCAGUGGGGAAUUUUGGACAAUGGGCGAAAGCCUGAUCCAGCCAUUCCGCGUGCAGGAUGAAGGCCUUCGGGUUGUAAACUGCUUUUGUACGGAACGAAACGGUCUCCUCUAAUACAGGAGGCUAAUGACGGUACCGUAAGAAUAAGCACCGGCUAACUACGUGCCAGCAGCCGCGGUAAUACGUAGGGUGCAAGCGUUAAUCGGAAUUACUGGGCGUAAAGCGUGCGCAGGCGGUGAUGUAAGACAGUUGUGAAAUCCCCGGGCUCAACCUGGGAACUGCAUCUGUGACUGCAUCGCUAGAGUACGGCAGAGGGGGAUGGAAUUCCGCGUGUAGCAGUGAAAUGCGUAGAUAUGCGGAGGAACACCGAUGGCGAAGGCAAUCCCCUGGGCCUGUACUGACGCUCAUGCACGAAAGCGU
This 710-nucleotide ribosomal RNA is filed under the name uncultured beta proteobacterium. RNAcentral's name for it is "bacterial SSU rRNA". It matches the Rfam family "Bacterial small subunit ribosomal RNA", at positions 55 to 762 of the family's 1533-position model. Lineage: Bacteria; Pseudomonadati; Pseudomonadota; Betaproteobacteria. The record is from RNAcentral.